AAUGUCUUACCUUAAAAUUAAAAUUAUGAAUAAUACGCAAAAUAUAAACAGCACAAUACAAUUUGAGUAUGUACACUAAACGUUUACUUAUAAUACGUUUGUAUACGCGUAUAAAAUCUGAUGACACAAUAUUAUUAUGUUAUCACUUACCACUUAUCAUCAUGGAAGUUGUAUACAUCCAUAUGAUUCGUAUAUUUAUGUUUUCUUUGUUUACUAUCAAUUAUUACUCUUUGGAACGUUUUUUUUUUUAAUUUGUCUUUUUUUUUUUUAAAUUUUUUACCGAAAAUGGGAAAAACUUUUUCGGUAUUUUUCUAAAUUUUCCGUGUAAUUUUGAACACCAUAACAGUGAACUGCCAAAAGUAACUGUAUAAUAUUAAAUUUUAGACGGACACAAAAAUCAAUACGCACAAUGAUAUUAUUUUUUUAUGAUAUAUUUCGUAUGACAUUUCAUACCCGAAAGAUAUUAAAAUUUUUUUGUAUUACAUUUUAAAUCAGACAAAAAAAAAAAAAGGCUAGUUGUCGUGUGUUUAUAAAAUACGACCAAAAAUAAUUUUCAAUACAAAUAAUAUUGUUGAGAUUCACAAAACAAAAAAAAAAAAAAAAAUAAUAAUAAUAAUAAUAAUAAUAAUAAUUAAAAUUAUACGUUUCUAUGUAUAAAAUAAUUUAAAAUAUUAAUAUACAAGGUCGUGAUCGAAAUGAAUGACCAGGAGAUUAUUGCAAAAGGAAUAAAUCGCAAAUAAAAAUAAAUGCAUCAAGUACGUCCCCCGGGUUUUUACCCGGGGGUUUUUUGUUUUCCGUUUUUUUUUUUUUUGCUUGUUGAUUUCCCACGUCAAACAUUCCUAUCACAUCAGUGUAUAUAAAAAAAAAAAAAAAAAUUAGUAAUAAUAAUAAUAAUAAUAAUAAUAAAUAAUAAUAAAAAAAAAUAAUAAUAAUUAUAAUAAAAAAUGAUACAAAAUUAAAGGUAAAAUUUACAUUUAUAAUAAAUUCGAGUUUUUAAAAUGUUACAAAAGUAUAAUAUUGUAGGAAAAAAAAAUAUAAUAUAGUCAAAAUACAGAAAAAAAAAAAAAAUUAUUUUUUAAGUUUGGUAGGUUUUAUUACUGGUUAAAUGACAGUCAAAAUAUGUUAAUAAAUCAUGUACAAUAGUCAAUAAUGUAUGUUUUGACUAGAAAUUCAACGAAAUAAUAAUAUUAUACUAUAGUUUAAUAUUUUUUUUAAUUAUCCGGUUGAAAAAAAAAAAUAUGUUCAUAUUGCAGCCAUGAUGAUCGCGGGAAACAUCUGAAAACAAAUACAAUAUCAUCAGGUUAAUAAUCGGGAAAAAAACCAAACGAUUGUACGGAGAUUAUUAUUCAAAAAAAAAUAUAUACGAUACAUAGAGUUGUUUAAAUAGUAUGCUAUAUGCGACGAUAAAUCAUUACCAAACAAUAACCUAACGGAACACGAUUCUGAGCGAAGUUUAGUUAAACAUCAUACUGUGACGUGCCGUGAUUUUUACGGUUCCUUUCAAAAUUUUGACUCGCGUAUAAAAAAAACGGCUCGGCUUUUGGCUCAUUGAGUAAAACUUUCUGCUCGUCCAAAACGAUUUUAUCCACAUUAAACCGAAGAAAAACUAAAAAAUGUCAAAUGCCUCUCAAAUAAUUAGCUGAAAAAUCGCUAGAAUGCAUAAAACGAUUUUAUCACAUUUAGAAGAAGCUAAUAUACACGCAUUCUGUGAAAAAUACAGAUCUCCACGAUUAUUUUUAACCGUCUCGAACAAAAAAAAAAAAUCAACAUUUUCUUUCGUGGGUAUUAUAGAAUACGGGUCGUAGGCGGUAUUUAUAGUUUUUAUGCCGAACGAUAAAUUAUUGCAAUCACAAAACGAUUCUGAUCGGUGCUCGGUAAACUGCUGGUAAGGUCAUAACGUACCUAUUUAUAGUAUUAUGGCGGUGUUACCGUCAUGUAUGUCGCCAUGAUUUUUUGUUGUUUAAUAGAAAUAUCCGUGGGGAAAUAGACAAUUUUUUUUUUUCAACUUAAGUACGAGCGGGCGAAAAUCUAUUACGAUACGGUAAUAAAUCUGAACAUAAUUCGUCAAUUUAAUAACAGGCUACGUUUUUAAGAUCGUGUUGUUUUUUUUUUUUUUUUAAACUAUUAUACUGUUUAAGUAUCAGAAAAUACACUUUAAAACAUUUUAUCAAUGCAGAUAAAAACGUAGAAUACACAAAAUGUAUAGAUUACAUUUCUAUAGUGUAGAAUAUUAAGCGAUAUUACGGUAAUUUAUUGAAGUAUAAUUGAAAAUGAAAAUAUUUAUUUUAAGCCACGAGUGGCACGCAAUUAUAAUAAUAUUUAUUUUACAAUAAUAAUAUUCGCAUGUACUCGUAAACUAUAAUAUUACAGACUGUGCGUUUCGCGAGUUUAGAGCGUGAGCUAUAGGUGCGGGUAGGCACUCUAAACUUAAAACGCGUUUAUUCAGUUCGGUAUAUAAGUACCGGAUACGGAUAGUUUGAUUUCGAGGAGGAGAGGAAAAAUUUAUUCAAGUUAACCGGGUAUUAGGUAAGUAGGUGUACCUGUACAAUAAAAACACCGUCGAAAUAUUAUACAUUGCACAAGUUUGGCCAAUACGCGUUUUUAACGUGUUUGUUAUUAUGAAUGUAUAUACAGAUUUUUUUUUCUCCUAAAUUCCAGGCGUAUCACGAAAUAUAUUGUACGCAGUUUUCGUUCUUUUUAAAUUUUACUAUCUACGCGCGCAUUAGUGAGAAAAAAUUAUUUCAUUGUGCGUUAGGUAGGACAAUAACGAUUAAAAAACGUGUUAGGUACGACGACGACGAAAAUGCGUUCCGGCUAUAUUUAUGCGCACGUAUCAGCUGAACGAAUAUUAUAAUAACAAGCACAAUAUCUGUAUGUAUGUAUGUGUGUGUGUGUGUGUGUGUGUAAGUUUAUAUAUUAUAAGUAUACAGAGUGAUUUUGUUUUUUUUUUUUUUUUGUCAGUAAGACUAGUAUAUAAGUAAUCCCUUUAGAGUUUAUUUCUGUUUGGGAAUAAUCUACCAUCAAGUGAUAUACUGGUAUGCGCACGAUGUACUCGUACUAUUAUUUUUAUAAUUUUACGUUAAGUAUUAGGUCUGAUGACAAACGUUGUACAAUAUGACGCAUAGUUUAAAAAAAAAAAUAGUAGGAAGAAACUAUAGCGUCUCUUAAAGAAGAAAAAAAACCACCGACCAGUGGCAGUGAUCAGUGAUAUAUCUUCUUAGAUAAAUUAAACGUUUCAACACUCGAAUUAAUGUCAACUAUAUAAAACAUACUUUAUCUGUGACUCGUGGAAUUAUUUUACUGCAAGAUACGCCGUCAUUCGAAAUUCAAAAAUGCACUGCCAACAAACACAAAACGUUAAAAAACAUAACAAUUUUAGAACUGCGUGUGUGCAUCGUACAUUUUCAAAACUAAUAGCUAAUGAGAGCGUACACUUAACCUCCGCGAGUGUUCCGCGGAAACCAAUCGCCAUAAUAUACAGGGUCGUGUUAAAGGGGAGAAGGCAGUGGAGACAUUUGCCCCGGGGCGUCGGAGCUUUUUAAAACAAUCGGGCACCCGGCUCAACGUAAAACUCGAAAUAAAAUUAACAAUAUCACUAUUGUUCUGUCGCUUGUUAUUUGUUUUGUUUUCAAACGUUAUUUGCUUAAAACAGUAAUUAAUAUUGUUUGGUAAUUACAAGACCGCGGGUACAACCGAGUAACGUAAUAUGCGUAUCUAGAAAAACAAAUUCAAGCGUAACGAAGAAUCUCAUUUGGUGGAUGUAAAAUGUUAAAAUUUUAAUACGAAUUUACAAAAAAAUUGUAACACACAAAAAAUAACAAAUUUUGGUGGGAGGGGGGGAUUCAUCCUUCAAAUCGUACUCGAGUGAAGUAUCUUAAAAGGGGGCGUUUAAAAAUCGAUGUCCCUGGGCGCCGAAUGGCCCGACACGGCUCCGAGUGUGUAUGAUAUUAUUAUUACCAUGAUCGACACGCCAAAUUAUUACGCGAACGCAGGUGUGCGAACGGCAUCAAUGGGAUUUUGAACGAAUAAAAAUAAGUCUUGCCGUCGUGGUGGCGAGCGAGGAAACAGAUUUAAGACCACACAGAUUUUUAUCGUGUAAAAACGUAUUGUAUUGUGCGUGUGCAGCGAAACUAAAGGACCGCAAAUAAUUCGCAAUUCAUCAGCCGGUCAUCAGAAGAAGAAGAAAAAAAAGGGUUAUAAUAAUGACGCGGACCGGACGUGGGCUUUGUGUCCGCAGUGUUCGAGCACAAAACCGGGGCGGGGUGGCCCGUGGUAUUUUCGAAUACUCCUUGACGAAUAUUAUAAAUAGAAUACCGCCAUCCUGGACCUAAAGGGCAGUAUUAAGUGACAGAAUUUGAAAAAUUGCUUUUUUUGUAUCGAAAUAUUCGUUUUGGUUUUUGUUUUUUUAAAACGCGUCUUUCUGACCCUGAGUAAAAAUACCGUAAAUGCAAUAGAUUUCAUAAUAAACGUGGUUAUAUACACGUGUUUUUUUUUUAAAAAAAUAAUAUAGAUACUGACUUUCUAUACUGACCAUAAGCGAAAAGGCAGUAACCGCUGAGCACGUAAUCACACCAUACAAUAAUUUUGCUAGUACUAUAGUUCGCAUUCGGUUUUUUUGUUUUGUAUCGAUAGGAAUCAGGAAAACAAGGCGAUUCAUAAAAUAUUAUUUUUCUGAAAACUACAUGAUAUGAGUUAUGACUAUGUCGCCAAUACUUAGGAGGUGCCUUUACACUAAGGAGGACAGGGUACAUGCAUAAUAACAGAUGUCGUAUUGAUGUUUUUUCCGAAUUGAAAAAAAAAAAUAAAAGAUUUAAGAAAAUACUGGACAGUAUAUAUUAAUUUAAUGGUAAAACUGUAGCGAUUCGUAUAUUAAACGCCGGCGUUUAUAAUAUAAUAUUAUAUUUUGAAAAGGUUAUUUUUGUCGCAAAGGAGUUUGUCUAGUCGUCGAGUGACCGAACGUUUGACCCGAGUUACGGCAAACAAUACACGUAUCUAUAUACAGGGUGCUCGUUUGAUCAUUAUCAUAAUAUACAAACUACUAACCGGCAAAUCUGUACAAGCCUACGAAUAACCUUUGAACGUUAAUUCGAUUAAAUUAUUAAUUGUAUUAUUUCAGACAUAAUAAUGUUCACAUUUCAAAACGAAUAAUAGUUUAUAAUAUUAACUUGAUAGACACGUGCAAUUUUAUCACCAACUCUUGUUCCUUACUCGUCCGGUCUAAAUUUACUCGCAUCUAUAAUAUUGGUAUCUAAUUGUCUGUGAAAAUAUUCUCUUAUCGAAUGCAUAGCAGUUAAAUACAAUGGGAGUUGCCGACAUUUUUCAAACAAAUUGUAUAGGUUUACCCGGGUAAGAAAAUACCUUUUCUUUUUUUUUUAAAAAAAAUCUCAAAAGUCGAAAUAGAGAGGAAGCACCGUGGCUUGACGACGUCAUCAAUCCAAGAUCCUCAAUAAGCUUCGAUUUCAGUCGGCAACCCAACAAAACCGGAAACCGGGUAGGACACUUUCGAAUCGCGCCAUAACAGACGGUUUUGGAUAUUUUUAAACUCAUAGAUUUUUAAACGCAAUUCGUGAAGAAUUAAAACACCGGGAGAAAAAUAAAUUCAAUUUCCAAACUGACAGUGUUCAUUGCAGUAAGACAUGUUCAGAGACAUGAAAACGUGUUCCGUUGCGACGGGACGCGUUUUCAUUUUAUUUUCGACAAUUAUUUCCACGAGUAGGUAUCGGAUUCACUCCAAAUCUAUUCGUAAACAAACGGCGCUGCGCACAUAUACGGUAUAGCAUAAAAAUAACACCCUGUACAAAUUAUAACACGGUAAUAAUUGGAACGCACCGGAGUUAGUAGGUAUAUAUAUAUACAUAUAUUAAAUACUCACUGGUCUAACGCGUUGCCAACAAUUCAUCGGUCCCCAGACAUUAAUACACUAUUUUAUUGCGCAUAGAUGUACAAUACGUCUACGGAGAUGCGUUUUAAUAAUAUCAUUUAAAUAAUGUUUUUCAAAACCGACAUUCGAUACACGUGCCGCGAACAAAACAAUAAUUUUCGUUUAAUAAUAACACCGUUGGUGUCCGUGAACAGUUCACGGAGUAAAUUCUAUAUGAACGGAGCCGGGCGUUUUUUUAAAAUUUUUUUUUUUUAACGGAGGACUUUUCGGGGUCCAAACGGAAACAUCGAAAUGUCCGUUGUACGUCCAGUGGAGUGAAAUUUGUUUACUGCGCGUCCGCUAGAAAAUAAACGGCAAACGAUCAAACUAAUCGGUUUAUUAUACGUUACAAUACAAUAGGAAACACUCUCACUGGCGGGAGGGAAGCGCAUAUCGGAAAGUGCGAAAGUUUAGCGAAAGGUGUCGUUUAGUGCGAGUGGAGUUUUUUUUUUAAGAGACGAACAGUGGAUGUUCACUAUGCCCUGGGGUCUAGUGGAAAUCCGAUACACGAGAUAAUGUUCGCGGACCGUGCGACGAGAAUAACGCACGCAAAAGUCGAGUUUCAUUCUCAAAAAAUACAUCCGGGAAAACUGCUGGGUUUAUGGAGUAAUUAAAAAAUUACAAACAAGUUAUACCGAGUUAUACAUGAUAAGAAAACGAUUAACUUUGUAAUUUUUGAAUUACACUUAUUUAAUUCGACGCGUGUUUCGAAUACAAGUUAAUUUUCACAGUUAAUUUAAUAAUUUGUUCAUUAAAUAUUAUUGUUUAUAUUUCUAUUACUUAGUUACGGGUAGUUUAUAAAUUAAUAUUAGCAAAAUUGUAAAGCGUUCUGUGAACAUUUAUAAUUCGGGAUAAAAAAAAAAAAAGUAAUAAAAGUCUAUUUGAAAAUUUAAUAUUAAAUUUUAAUUUUUUUCGGAAGGGUGGGGAAGGGCUAAAAUUAAGUUUGGAUAGGUUACAAGAUAAUUUUUCUUCUAUACGUAAUACAAUCGCAUUGUCUUUGAAAUGCAUUAAUUUAUUUUCGAAUUAAUCUUUUCGCGGAUUUUAAAUAUUUCAUGAAAAUCUACAUGGAGUUAUCACUAAUCACUAAUCGUAUGAUUAUCACCAUUUUGGUUAUACUUCAAAUGUAUUAUGUUAACCAAUGCUUACGAAAAUUACGAUAUUUUAAACAUGUACAUAACCGACCUUCGCUCAGAAACUCGUUUCGUAAUGGUUCAUAUCGUUGCGUACAUAUAAGAAUUUAAUGAACUUUAUUUAAGGUCAGGAUACCUUCCCGAAUUUUCGCCUACAACCGUAUUUUUUUUUUAAUUUUAAAUAAUCGAUUUUAAAAUAGUACCAAGAUUUAAUGUGCAUACUAUUUUAUAAUCGAUGCUAUUGUUACGACGAGUAUACGUAAAUCGGGUGUUUUAUUGGUACUAGAAAUGGACGAUUGAAUCAGGCUAAAUCAUUGUUUUUACUAUUGUACAAUUCUGUGUGUUUGUUUUUUUUUUUUUUUCUAGAAAAGAACCGAACAGUGGGAAGCACUAAGUUCCCGCGGCGGUCGACGAAUAAUUUAUUUCGACUCGACGGAACCGAAACAAUCAAAUUCCCGUGGCGCGGUUUUACCGCUAAAAUGACGAAAAACAUACGUGUAGAACAACGAAACGUUUCGAGAAAGCGAG
Non-coding RNA from Cinara cedri, 7578 nucleotides. Lineage: Eukaryota; Metazoa; Arthropoda; Insecta; Hemiptera; Aphididae. The record is from the annotation of a GenBank genome assembly.